Molecule: ribosomal RNA, 165 nt
Filed under: uncultured bacterium
Lineage: Bacteria
Description: partial 16S rRNA
Rfam family: Bacterial small subunit ribosomal RNA
Source: RNAcentral
UAGGGAAUCUUCCACAAUGGACGAAAGUCUGAUGGAGCAACGCCGCGUGAGUGAAGAAGGGUUUCGGCUCGUAAAACUCUGUUGUUAAAGAAGAACAUAUCUGAGAGUAACUGUUCAGGUAUUGACGGUAUUUAACCAGAAACGCCACGGCUAACUACGUGCCAG